Colossoma macropomum (tambaqui) is the source of this 1416-nucleotide long non-coding RNA. RefSeq lists it as uncharacterized. The record is from RefSeq and is a predicted model, not a curated record. NCBI's taxonomy places the organism in Eukaryota, Metazoa, Chordata, Actinopteri, Characiformes, Serrasalmidae. The transcript has 3 exons.
UCAGUGUGGCUUGACUGGAGAAUGUUGUGAUGCGCUGGCCUCUACUCUCAGCAAAAAGGCUUCAUGUCUGAGGGAACUGAACCUGGGAGGAAAUAACCUGCAGGAUUCAGGAGUGGAGAUUCUUUGUGCUGGAUUAGAGAAUCCACACUGCAAACUGGAGAUUCUGAGACUGUUCAACUGCGGGGUCACGGAGAAAUGCUGCACAAUUUUAGCAUCAGCUUUAAAAGGCAAACACACAGUCCUGAUAGAACUGGACCUUAGAGAAAACAACCUUAAAGACACCGACGUAAGGCAGAUUUCUGCCUUACUGGAAAAUCCAGAUUACAAACUAGAGAAAAUUAACUUGUACUGAACCCCCCACCACAUACAUGUGCACACAAAAAAGCAUGAGCUGGGGACCCUGAGGAGCAGAAACAUGAACCACAAUCCUUCUUCUAUUGUUCUUAUUUAUUGAACAUAUUUAAUAUUAUUGCUAUUCUAUAUAUUUAUGUUUAGGGCUAUUGUCAUAGUAUCUAUGCAGCCCAGAUGUCUUAACUUUAAUCUUACAGAUUAGACUGUGUAAAAAAACAUCAGCCACAUUAAUUAUGAAUUACAUGGCUCAUAUCCUACAUUUAUUUAAUAUUUUUCUGGAGCUCCACUUAGAACAUUUGCAUAGUUUUAUGUACCAAAACAGUCAUAAAAAAUUGUUACAUGACCAUUUUUCCAAACUCUUUUUAGAAUUAAAUCAGACUGUUUUGUUACGCUGCUUUUAAGACUGAUUUCUGAUUGGCUGCUCUCAUUCAAAAAGCAGUCCUAGCAGAAACACUCCUUAAAACUUCAGCGUGAAUGGGCGUGGCUAAACUGCUAUAGAAUAGGCAGAUAAAUUGUUGAUUUUCAUGACAGCAUAAAAGCAAUGAAUUCAAAAUGGGCUGCUUUUGGAGCAAAGUUUUCAUAUUUGAACUGUAUGGACUGGACAGUGAACGGUACACAAACUUUAACAGUGUUUAAAUAUUAUGUCAAACUUUAAUAUCGAAAAGUGAGGAAAACUACGUACUUAAUGAUAUGGGCCCUUUAAGUCAACAUGUUUUGAACAGUACAGUUAGCUAGGACGAAGUCUAACGCAAGAGGCCUAAUAUACAUAAUACCAGCUAGAAUCAUGUAGGUCAAUAACUGCAGAUAUUAUGUUACAGACACACAUACUAAUUUAAGGAAUUAAUGAGAUGUGCUAUUACAUUGUUGCUAAAUGUAAAGAUACCAUGUACACUCAAAAAAUGAACCACUGGGGUUGUUUAACUUAUAAACUAAAAUUAUGUCAACAUUAAAUAAGUGAAUUGUUUUGUCUUUAAGUAACUGGUUUACAUAAAAUGGACAAAAGUUUAAAUGAAAGCACAUUUCAAUGAAUAAAAACUGUUUACUUUAACCCAAAGGGAAUUCUAC